CUCCCACCACCACUACAAGAUUAUUUUUCCAGUCGGAAGUCAGUUAUAACAUAAAGUCCGCGCGUACAUGUAAUACAUGUAUAUUAUUUUUUCAUUCUGCUUCGCAUAUGUGCUCAUACUUUAUAGAUAUGCUAUUGAACAAAACUUUUUUUGUAUAAAAAAUCAAAUCAGUGUCAAACAUUUAAAUAAUAAUUUAUAAUCAUUAAUAUUAUUUAUACGACUAUCACGGAGUAAUCUCAAUUUUACGUAUUAAAAAAUUGAUUUUGGGGUUAAGUAUAAGUCAAUACUAAAAUACAGUGGAAAGUAUCUAAGCAUUGAAAAAUAAUCUUAUAGAAAUUAGAAUGACUCAAAAUUUCCAAAUUGAUUAUACUUGGAAAUUAUCAUAUAUUUGGCCGAUAAAGGACGAAGAGGAAUCAUCAGAGUUUUUCACGUUGCCAAAUUACGAUAAAAUUUUUUUUUCAAUUUUCUAUAGAGAUAUGAAAGAUAACUAUAAUACCUAUGAGAUUCGAGUAAAAAAAAAUGGAAUUUUUAAUCCUCCUAAAACUAAUGUAACCAUAAAAUUAUUUGGUGAAACUAAAACUCAGGCAAUCAAGAAUUGGCAAAAUCAUGAUGUUGUCAAAUUCUGUUUUAAUUCCUCUAGAUCGAUUUGCAAUGUUAGGUGUGAUAUACUGAUGGAUAGAAUAGAUUUUGAUGAAACUGAUGGAGAAACAUUAUCCUCAUGUUCAGCCCAUUGCAUGGAUAACUACUUAUUGUCAUCAUUGUUGAGCGAUGUAAUAAUUAAAAUUAAAGAUAAUACAGAACAAUUACCAGCUCAUAAACUUAUACUUGCUUCACGUAGCUCUGUUUUCGAGAGAAUGUUCAAUACGGAUAUGAAAGAAGCUAAAGAGAAUUGUAUUUGUUUUGAUGGAUUUGAUAUUGAUACCAUCAAAGAAGUUCUCAAAUUCAUGUAUACUGGCAAAAUUGAAGCAGAAAAUGAUUCUGACGUUCUUCUUAAAGUAUUAGCUUGUGCGCAAAUGUAUCAAAUUGAAAAAUUAAAAACUUAUUGUGAAUACAAACUGAUACAGAGUUUAAGUGUCGACAAUGUCAUUAAAAUUUUAAUCGAAACUGAUAAUUUCGAUGUACUCAAGUUGAAUGAAAAAGCAUUAUUGUAUAUAACUCUUAACAAAACUCGUAUAUCAUUUGCUGAUGCGUUAAAAGAAUUGAAUAAUUCAAAAGUUUUGUUAAAGUUUUUUGUUCAACAAACAGAAAUGAAAACAAAUUAAUAUUUUAAAAUUUAUGUCGCGUUAUUAAUUCCAAAAGGGCUUACAUUUUUAUACGCCGUUUCGUCUUUAAAGAGCUUCCUAAAGCCAAAAAGACGUUCGAUUUUUUUUCAUUGCCAAUCGUUUGGUAGACUUAGUUUAGAGCUAAAAAUUAAAAAAAAAUUUAAAAGCCCUUUUGGUUUUCAAACUUUUUUUUCAAUUUUGAGCUUUAAAAUAAGUCUCCAAAGUGAUCUGUAAUGAAAAAAAAAAAAAAAAUCAUACGUUCUUUUAGCUCCAGGAGACUCCUAAAAGCUAAAAGAGCUUAUAAAAAUAUGUCCUUUUGGAAUUAAUAACACGAAAUUUUGCUACUGCAGUAUAGUAAGGUCCAGAAAUAUUAAAAGCUUAAGAAUUUUCUCUUCAUAAUUAAUCUCUGGAACUAAAAAGAGAAUAACUAUAAAUUACUUUUAUAUAUUUAAAAAAAUAUGAUAAUGAAAAUGUUUCUAAAACAAAAAAAUAUUUAAUAUUAAAAAAUGUUUUUUAUAAACUCAAUAAAACUCACAAUAGAUUAUUGUUCCUUAAUCAAAGUUUCGUAUAUUUUUAUCUAUAAUAAUAAUAAUAAUAAUAAUAAUAAUAAUAAUAAUAAUAAUAAUAAUAAUAAUAUUUUAUCAAUAAUUUUACCCACCUAUUUAUUUACCAUUGGGAAUCCCCCGUAUAUUAAACUUAAUAUUUAAAAAACAGUAAGGCUUUGACCAUUACUGCUCUCUAUAUUAACACGUAAGAACUAAAAAUAAAAACAACUUCGAAUCUCGGCUGAUAACCUUUACGUCUUUCGUAAAUAAACAAAAAUAUCAGAUGUCAAUAUUUAAUAAUCACCAAAAUUACCCUUGACUUUUAAAAAUUUAACGAUGAACGAAAAAAGCUCCGAUAAAUCUAUCACAUUUAUAUACAAAUGGCAAAUACAACCCAUCAACGGAGAAGAAGGAUUCAGAAGUGACUGGAUAGAGUCUGACAGUUUCGGUCUGUUUGACAACUCAGCCGAGCAUUUAUUUCGCAUAUUAUCGCGAUAUCACAUAAAUGACUACUCGUACGAAGUCAAUAUAAAAGUCAAAAAAAGGGGAUUUCCCUUUCAUGGUAAAACUGACAUAGAGAUAAGAUAUAAAAACGUCGCCAAGAAUAUGACCAUGAUAAAGUGGAACGGCGAUUUGAGUGAUACUUUGACGUUCCUUGUUUCUAAAAGCUGCUCAUUCCCCUGGCAUCUCCAUUGUAAAAUAACUUUGCAUAAACUAGACUCCGAUAUUAAAAGUAUAAUGCAUUCUUCCAUGCUGGCGAAUCAUGCUGAUGAUUAUCUUCUUUCCUCAGAGCUGAGUGACGUCAUUGUCAAAGUCGAAAACGAAGAGUUUCCGGCCCACAAACUGGUACUUGCGUCCCAUAGUCCCGUUUUCAGGAGAAUGUUCAGCACAGACAUGAAAGAAGCCAAAGAAAAUUGUGUUAAUUUUAAAAACUUUGAGACCGAAGUAAUAAAAGAGGUUUUGAAAUUUAUCUACACAGGAAAAGUCGAGGCGGAAGAUGAUACUGAGCUGGUUCUUAGUGUCUUGGCCUGCGCUAACAUGUACCAGAUAGACAAAUUAAAAAUUUUCUGCGAGUGUAAACUAAUUGAAAAUAUUAAUCUCGAUAAUGUCAUUAAUCUUCUUGUCAAAACUGACAACUACGAGGUCCCCAGACUGAAAGAAAGAGCGAUGAAGUUUUUGGUGAAUAAUAAAGCCAACAUUUCUUUUGAUGAUGCGAUAAAUCAAGUGAGCAAUUCUAAAAUAAUACGAGAGUUUUUUAUAAGCCAGAUGGGAAUGAAAUGUGACUAAUUGUUGUUGAUAAUUAAUUUUUUUUAAACUGUAAAUAUGAUACUUUAGUUUAUAUGAGACCAUUUUUUAUAUAAUUAAUUUUUUAUUUUAAUAAAUAAAUAAAAAAAUAAUUAUCUGAUAAAUUAUUUAAAUCAUACUCUGAAUGCUGACGUCAAAUUCAUUUAUCAGCAUUUUAAUGUCAAUAAAAAAAUAUAAACAUUCAAUAAAUGUUAAUAUUUACAACUUA
RNA transcript from Microplitis mediator, 3320 nucleotides. It is a transcript of the gene named speckle-type POZ protein B-like, with no coding region annotated. NCBI's taxonomy places the organism in Eukaryota, Metazoa, Arthropoda, Insecta, Hymenoptera, Braconidae. The transcript has 3 exons. The record is from RefSeq and is a predicted model, not a curated record.